UUGUGGAGAAGGACGCCGAAGGUGGGGCUGAUGACUGGGGUGAAGUCGUAACAAGGUAGCCGUACCGGAAGGUGCGGCUGGAUCACCUCCUAACAGGGAGACAACAAUUUGAUUGUGAUGUCUAAGUUUUUUAUUCUUAGGCCGCAAUCCUGUCACCUUAAGGUCGAUCGGUAUCUCAGAUGAAAGAUUUAAUUUUAUAUUAUUCUUUUAUUUCAGUUCCUAAACUUGUCUAGGUCACACCCAACAAAGGUUUCUCCUGGGCCAUUAGCUCAGGUGGUUAGAGCGCACCCCUGAUAAGGGUGAGGUCCCUGGUUCAAGUCCAGGACGGCCCAUUCGUUGUUGGGGGUAUAGCUCAGUUGGUAGAGCGCCUGCUUUGCAAGCAGGAUGUCAGCGGUCCGAGUCCGCUUACCUCCACUGAAAACUAUCCUGAUAACUAAAUUUGGAGAAAAGUUUGUAGAUGUGACUUAGAAUUGUCUAUUGAAAAGAACCUAGCUUCUUAUCAUCUUUAUAUAGUUGAUAACAUGCUGGGCUCCCAUGGAUUAAUUUCAUGAGAAUUCAGUAGAACCUUGAAAACUGCAUAGAUUAGAAAGAAUAAAGCAUCUCAUGGAUGCAUAAUUCUGUUUUAUAAUUUAGCCUUAAAACUAAAUUAUUAACGCAUGAAUUCAUGUUUAAUUCUUGAGUAAAAGCCGAGCACAAUUGAUUUUUUGAUUGUAUUUAAGGUCAAGCUACAA
RNAcentral lists this unclassified non-coding RNA (731 nucleotides) under uncultured Prochlorococcus sp. RNAcentral's name for it is "partial 16S-23S ribosomal RNA intergenic spacer; may also contain 16S ribosomal RNA and 23S ribosomal RNA". The stretch from base 1 to 93 matches the Rfam family "Bacterial small subunit ribosomal RNA", at positions 1441 to 1533 of the family's 1533-position model. The record is from RNAcentral. Lineage: Bacteria; Bacillati; Cyanobacteriota; Cyanophyceae; Synechococcales; Prochlorococcaceae.